This is a long non-coding RNA of Sander lucioperca (pikeperch), 109 nucleotides long. RefSeq lists it as uncharacterized. The transcript has 3 exons. The record is from RefSeq and is a predicted model, not a curated record. Lineage: Eukaryota; Metazoa; Chordata; Actinopteri; Perciformes; Percidae.
GUCUGGAUUUUUUGUUGUUAUUCUGUCUCUCACUGUUCAAAUGAACCUACCACUAAAAUUAUAGACUGAUCAUUUCUUUCUUUCCUCAUUGUGUGUGUGUGUGUGUGUG